Molecule: ribosomal RNA, 497 nt
Filed under: uncultured bacterium
Lineage: Bacteria
Description: partial 16S ribosomal RNA
Rfam family: Bacterial small subunit ribosomal RNA
Source: RNAcentral
GAUGAACGCUGGCGGCGUGCCUAAUACAUGCAAGUCGAGCGAACAGAUGAGGAGCUUGCUCCUCUGACGUUAGCGGCGGACGGGUGAGUAACACGUGGAUAACCUACCUAUAAGACUGGGAUAACUUCGGGAAACCGGAGCUAAUACCGGAUAAUAUAUUGAACCGCAUGGUUCAAUAGUGAAAGACGGUUUUGCUGUCACUUAUAGAUGGAUCCGCGCCGCAUUAGCUAGUUGGUAAGGUAACGGCUUACCAAGGCAACGAUGCGUAGCCGACCUGAGAGGAUGAUCGGCCACACUGGAACUGAAACACGGUCCAGACUCCUACGGGAGGCAACAGUAGGGAAUCUUCCGCAAUGGGCGAAAGCCUGACGGAGCAACGCCGCGUGAGUGAUGAAGAUCCUCGGAUCGUAAAACUCUGUUAUUAGGGAAGAACAAAUGUGUAAGUAACUAUGCACGUCUUGACGGUACCUAAUCAGAAAGCCACGGCUAACUACGUG